GCCAGGCAUGGUGGCACAUGCCUGUAAUCCCAGCAGCUUGGGAGGCUGAGGCAGGAUUAUAAAUUCAAAACUAGCCUCAGCAAUUUAGUGAGGCCCUAAGCAACUCAGCAAGACUCUGUCUCUA
RNAcentral lists this small RNA (124 nucleotides) under Marmota monax (woodchuck). The record is from RNAcentral. Lineage: Eukaryota; Metazoa; Chordata; Mammalia; Rodentia; Sciuridae.